This 253-nucleotide ribosomal RNA is filed under the name uncultured bacterium. RNAcentral's name for it is "partial 16S ribosomal RNA". It matches the Rfam family "Bacterial small subunit ribosomal RNA", at positions 524 to 776 of the family's 1533-position model. The record is from RNAcentral.
UACAGAGGGCUCAAGCGUUGUUCGGAAUCACUGGGCGUAAAGGGUGCGUAGGUGGCGUGGCAAGUCAGAUGUGAAAGCCCAGGGCUCAACCCUGGAAUUGCAUCCGAUACUGCCAUGCUGGAGUACUGAAGAGGUGAGUAGAAUUCUCGGUGUAGCAGUGAAAUGCGUAGAUAUCGAGAGGAAUACCAGAGGCGAAGGCGGGUCACUGGGCAGUUACUGACGCUGAGGCACGAAGGCCAGGGGAGCAAACAGG